This 248-nucleotide ribosomal RNA is filed under the name uncultured bacterium. RNAcentral's name for it is "partial 16S ribosomal RNA". It matches the Rfam family "Bacterial small subunit ribosomal RNA", at positions 15 to 244 of the family's 1533-position model. The record is from RNAcentral.
GAUCCUGGCUCAGGACGAACGCUGGCGGCGUGCCUAACACAUGCAAGUUGAACGGAACUUUUUUGAAAGAUUUCUUCGGAAUGAAUUUGAUUAAGUUUAGUGGCGGACGGGUGGGUAACGCGUGAGUAACCUGCCUCUAAGAGGGGAAUAACAUUCUGAAAAGAAUGCUAAUACCGCAUAAUAUAUAUUUAUCGCAUGGUAGAUAUAUCAAAGAUUUAUCGCUUAGAGAUGGACUCGCGUCCGAUUAG